AAGAGAUAUUGCGUUUAAAAAUAUAAAGAAAAAAAAAACAAAAUGAGUAAGCGCUAUAAAAAAAUGAGAAAAAAUAAAUCUUUUAUAUAAGUAAAGGAAUGAGAGAAUCUAGUAGACUUUAUAUUAUUUUUUUUUUAAAAAAUGAAUACUAGAUAGAAACAUAUUCACCGACUUAUUACACGGAGUAGGUGUGCGAAGCCAGCAAGAUGACAAACAAAAAAUGAAAUUACAGAGAGUAAUGAAGAGUUAGCAAACAAAUCUAUAUACCGCGAAACUACCUAUUUUCUUAAAGACUCUAUUAAAGAUGAAGAUGUGGCAUAAGAUAAAGAACUAGACGAUCUUUUGCAAUCACCUGAUGAAAUAGUAUUUCAUAUAGAUUAUAUGACUCGAAUAGGAUUUGAAAAAGAAUUUAAAAACAGUAACAGUUUUAACAAUUUGUUUAAAAAUUUUUUAUUGGGCUAUCAAUUUGUUGUGCUUUGUGCGAAAUCGACAUCAGAAAAUCAGAGCAAAGUGAUGAAACGAAAUUAUAAUUCUCCUGUAUAUUUCAUCAAACCAUUGGAAGGAAGUGUCAAUUUGGAUUAUCUGAAAACUACAAAUCUCAGUGCCGCAUUCAACAUUUUAGAAAAUGAUAGUGGUUGGAGAAUUAUACGAUUGAGUAAAUUUUGCAUCAAAAGUUUGUUCAAUUUGUCAGAAAAAUCCAUGUCUAAACUGCGUCAUUAUGAAAUGGAUGGAAAACGAGUUAAAAAAAUAAAAAAUGAUGACAAACCAAAGAAAAAAAGAUCAGAAAAGCAAAAAGAAAGAUACAAUUUAAACAAGAGAAACAAAUAUAAAAAUUUGUCUGGAAAAGCUCUUUUUUCAUAUAAAGAAAAACAACGGAUGCGAAAAAAAAAAAAAUUUGACUUCCCAAGUGUUAGAAGAAAGAACAAACGAGUGGAGUGGAGAUAACGAAGAUAAGAGGAGAAAAUGAUUUUUUAAGAAAUAUUGAUGUAAUUAUUGACGAAAACCAAAAUAUAUUCGAAGCAUAGAUACCGAAAGAUAAGAUUAAAAUGGAAAGGAAAUAAGUUAAUCAAAACACUAUGAAAAUAAUAUAUAUAUAAAAUAAAAUAAUAUUGAUGUAACUGAACGUUUAAUUGGAAAUACAAAUAUAAAGAGAGAGAGGUGAAUCUAAAUGAUGGAACUUUAUCAAAAACAAAAAAAAUAUCUAAUGAUGAAACGAUUGGUAUAGACACAAUAGAAUAAAAUUAUCAAUAAAAAAUAUUUUUAAUGUUAUAUAAAAAUAAUAGAAGAACUUGAAAAAAAAUUACAAAUCAUUCGUAAUUUUUUUUAUUUUAU
Molecule: long non-coding RNA, 1332 nt
Organism: Hydra vulgaris (swiftwater hydra)
Lineage: Eukaryota; Metazoa; Cnidaria; Hydrozoa; Anthoathecata; Hydridae
Source: RefSeq, a predicted model, not a curated record